GAUAACUCAGGUACGGGUCAAAGCCGCAUGCCACAGCCCCCACGUCAGGAUCAAGCUUCAUCUUGUCCAUCAGGGUGCUCAGACUGCCCCCGUCGUACACCUCAGGCUGGGAGAGACAAGCAACCGGCAGAUGGCGCCGCUUGUGAGAGGAUGACUGAUGCGUCAUUAUUCGCUGGCAGUCUGCACCAUCGGGUAGUCCAGCUACAAGGAUUUAUUUAUCUUCACACGGCCUGGAAGGUCUGUGCCUGACCGUGGAUGGGAUAUAGCCGCCUCAGUGGCCACAUGCACAGGCCAGCGUCGCCUGAGCCCUGAGGAACACUCUCCUCGGUGCCCCACACAGCCACACAGCACCUGCAGGCUCUCCCUCCAGAAAAGUGGACGACUCGCCAUGAUGUGACAAGAUAACCUGCCAGUUACCAACACCUUUGAGGCACUAAAGGCUUUGGCACCACAGCCUGCAAGGCCCACACGUCCCCAACAACAACAGUGUUAACAAGGGCAAGGCCUGUGCCAGGAUGGCAGAUGUGAUGGUGCCCGAACAGCUGGUACACACCAGUGAGGUGGUGGUGUUGCUGGGGAACAGCUGGUUUGCCAAGUGCAGUGCCAAGCAGGCCGCCCACACUGUCAGCAGGAGGAUCAGGGCCUGGAAGGUCUGUGCCUGACCGUGGAUGGGAUAUAGGCCGCCUCAGUGGCCACAUGCACAGGCCAGCGUCGUCUGAGCCCUGAGGAACACUCUCCUCGGUUGCCCCACACAGCACCUGCAGGCUCUCCCUCCAGAAAAGUGGACGACUCACCAUGAUGUGACAAGAUAACCUGCCAGUUACCAACACCUUUGAGGCACUAAAAGGCUUUGGCACCACAGCCUGCAAGGCCCACACGUCCCCAACAACAACAGUGUUAACAAGGGCAAGGCCUGUGCCAGGAUGCCAGAUGUGAUGGUGCCUGAACAGCUGGUACAACACCAGUGAGGUAGUGGUGUUGCUGGGGAACAGCUGGUUUGCCAAGUGCAGUGCCAAGCAGGCCGCCCCACAACUGUCAGCAGGAGGAUCAGGGCCUGGAAGGUCUGUGCCUGACCGUGGAUGGGAUAUAGCCGCCUCAGUGGCCACAUGCACAGUCCAGCGUCGCCUGAGCCCUGAGGAACACUCUCCUCGGUGCCCCACACAGCCACACAGCACCUGCAGGCUCUCCCUCCAGAAAAGUGGACGACUCGCCAUGAUGUGACAAGAUAACCUGCCAGUUACCAACACCUUUGAGGCACUAAAGGCUUUGGCACCACAGCCUGCAAGGCCCACACAUCCCCAACAACAACAGUGUUAACAAGGGCAAGGCCUGUGCCAGGAUGCCAGGAUCCCCCUCCUCUUUCCUUCUCUCUUACCUUUUAACUCUCUCACACUCCCUCUCCACUUCUCUCCUCUCCCCAUGCAACCCUCUCCAGUCCUCCCCUCUCCCUCUCUCACCUGUCUCGUCCACUUCGAGCAGAAACUGUGGGUUGGUGGCAAACUUUUCAAAGUCGUUCCUGCUUCCUCCUGCUGUCCUGCCCACCAUCCACUCUCCCCUGAUGGCCUUUACCUGGACAGCAGAAGUAGCAUCCACCGUCCCGUCGUGAUCGAAGUCUGGGCCCAGCGUGCAGACAGUCACCUCCUCAAACUCGUCACAGAAGUCUUGGUAGCUCAUCCAAAAUUCCCCGUCAUGCAGAGAGGAGCUGGACCGGCCUGCUCCUAGGCGACUCUUCUGCUUGGAAUCUACGCCGCUCCACCUCUCGUCCCUGUGGCGGUGGUGGUGGUGUUACUGUUAAUGGUACUGUUUCUUGGUGGUGGUGAUGGUGAAAGGAAGAUGGUUGUUACUGAUGCUGUUGUUGUUGUUGAUGUUAUUUCUUCUACUACUGCUACUAUUGUGUGUGUGGUGAAAUGACGGUGUUUACUGCUACUACUGCUGCUGCUAUUACUACAACUACAACAACUACUACUACUACUACUACUACUACUACUACUACUACUACUACUACUACUACUA
RNA transcript from Scylla paramamosain (green mud crab), 2013 nucleotides. RefSeq lists it as uncharacterized. The record is from RefSeq and is a predicted model, not a curated record. The transcript is spliced from 8 exons. Lineage: Eukaryota; Metazoa; Arthropoda; Malacostraca; Decapoda; Portunidae.